GAGAUGAACUGCCGAAGGAACAAAAUUGCUCUGACUCAGCAGGAGAAAGAAGGCCCCGUCCUGCGGGUUUGGCAUGGCGAUCGGUUGCUGUAGCAGCACUUGUUGGUCAAUGCAGAGGGUGAGAUUGGGCAGGCUAGAACUUCAAUCCUUGAAACACAGGAGGCUAAGGAGUGUAUAAAAUUAGAGGGGAAUUGACAGGGUGAAUACAUAGUCUUUUACCCAG
Amblyraja radiata (thorny skate) is the source of this 223-nucleotide long non-coding RNA. RefSeq lists it as uncharacterized. The record is from RefSeq and is a predicted model, not a curated record. The transcript has 3 exons. Lineage: Eukaryota; Metazoa; Chordata; Chondrichthyes; Rajiformes; Rajidae.